This 74-nucleotide transfer RNA is filed under the name Phycisphaera sp. RNAcentral's name for it is "tRNA-Pro". It matches the Rfam family "tRNA". Rfam says of the family: Transfer RNA (tRNA) molecules are approximately 80 nucleotides in length. Their secondary structure includes four short double-helical elements and three loops (D, anti-codon, and T loops). The record is from RNAcentral. RNAcentral also lists the same sequence under 4 other names. Lineage: Bacteria; Pseudomonadati; Planctomycetota; Phycisphaerae; Phycisphaerales; Phycisphaeraceae.
CAGGGCGUAGCUCAGCUUGGUAGAGCACGUGUUUUGGGUACACGAGGUCGCUGGUUCAACUCCAGUCGCCCUGA